Molecule: unclassified non-coding RNA, 330 nt
Filed under: soil metagenome
Description: partial contains 5.8S ribosomal RNA, internal transcribed spacer 2, and large subunit ribosomal RNA
Rfam family: 5.8S ribosomal RNA (bases 1-120)
Source: RNAcentral
GAUGAAGAACGCAGCGAAAUGCGAUAAGUAAUGUGAAUUGCAGAAUUCAGUGAAUCAUCGAAUCUUUGAACGCACAUUGCGCCCCUUGGUAUUCCGAGGGGCAUGCCUGUUCGAGCGUCAUUAUAACCCCUCAAGCUUAGCUUGGUGUUGGGGCCUGCUGUAAUAGAGCAGCCCUUAAAAUCAGUGGCGGUGCCAUUAGGCUCUAAGCGUAGUAAUUCUUCUCGCUAUAGGGUUCUGGUGGAUGCUUGCCAUUAACCUCUAAUUUUCUAUGGUUGACCUCGGAUCAGGUAGGGAUACCCGCUGAACUUAAGCAUAUCAAUAGGCGGAGGA